RNAcentral lists this ribosomal RNA (504 nucleotides) under uncultured bacterium. Its description in RNAcentral is "partial 16S ribosomal RNA". It matches the Rfam family "Bacterial small subunit ribosomal RNA", at positions 29 to 523 of the family's 1533-position model. The record is from RNAcentral.
AUUGAACGCUGGCGGCAGGCCUAACACACGCAAGUCGGACGGUAGCACAGAGUGCUUGCUCUCGGGUGACGAGUGGCGGACGGGUGAGUAAUGUCUGGGGAUCUGCCCGAUAGAGGGGGAUAACCACUGGAAACGGUGGCUAAUACCGCAUAACGUCGCAAGACCAAAGAGGGGGACCUUCGGGCCUCUCACUAUCGGAUGAACCCAGAUGGGAUUAGCUAGUAGGCGGGGUAACGGCCCACCUAGGCGACGAUCCCUAGCUGGUCUGAGAGGAUGACCAGCCACACUGGAACUGAGACACGGUCCAGACUCCUACGGGAGGCAGCAGUGGGGAAUAUUGCACAAUGGGCGCAAGCCUGAUGCAGCCAUGCCGCGUGUAUGAAGAAGGCCUUCGGGUUGUAAAGUACUUUCAGCGGGGAGGAAGGCGAUGUGGUUAAUAACCGUAUCGAUUGACGUUACCCGCAGAAGAAGCACCGGCUAACUCCGUGCCAGCCGCCGCCGUAA